RNAcentral lists this ribosomal RNA (1529 nucleotides) under Lactiplantibacillus pentosus. RNAcentral describes it as "partial 16S ribosomal RNA". It matches the Rfam family "Bacterial small subunit ribosomal RNA". The record is from RNAcentral. Lineage: Bacteria; Bacillati; Bacillota; Bacilli; Lactobacillales; Lactobacillaceae.
AGAGUUUGAUCCUGGCUCAGGACGAACGCUGGCGGCGUGCCUAAUACAUGCAAGUCGAACGAACUCUGGUAUUGAUUGGUGCUUGCAUCAUGAUUUACAUUUGAGUGAGUGGCGAACUGGUGAGUAACACGUGGGAAACCUGCCCAGAAGCGGGGGAUAACACCUGGAAACAGAUGCUAAUACCGCAUAACAACUUGGACCGCAUGGUCCGAGUUUGAAAGAUGGCUUCGGCUAUCACUUUUGGAUGGUCCCGCGGCGUAUUAGCUAGAUGGUGGUAACGGCUCACCAUGGCAAUGAUACGUAGCCGACCUGAGAGGGUAAUCGGCCACAUUGGGACUGAGACACGGCCCAAACUCCUACGGGAGGCAGCAGUAGGGAAUCUUCCACAAUGGACGAAAGUCUGAUGGAGCAACGCCGCGUGAGUGAAGAAGGGUUUCGGCUCGUAAAACUCUGUUGUUAAAGAAGAACAUAUCUGAGAGUAACUGUUCAGGUAUUGACGGUAUUUAACCAGAAAGCCACGGCUAACUACGUGCCAGCAGCCGCGGUAAUACGUAGGUGGCAAGCGUUGUCCGGAUUUAUUGGGCGUAAAGCGAGCGCAGGCGGUUUUUUAAGUCUGAUGUGAAAGCCUUCGGCUCAACCGAAGAAGUGCAUCGGAAACUGGGAAACUUGAGUGCAGAAGAGGACAGUGGAACUCCAUGUGUAGCGGUGAAAUGCGUAGAUAUAUGGAAGAACACCAGUGGCGAAGGCGGCUGUCUGGUCUGUAACUGACGCUGAGGCUCGAAAGUAUGGGUAGCAAACAGGAUUAGAUACCCUGGUAGUCCAUACCGUAAACGAUGAAUGCUAAGUGUUGGAGGGUUUCCGCCCUUCAGUGCUGCAGCUAACGCAUCAAGCAUUCCGCCUGGGGAGUACGGCCGCAAGGCUGAAACUCAAAGGAAUUGACGGGGGCCCGCACAAGCGGUGGAGCAUGUGGUUUAAUUCGAAGCUACGCGAAGAACCUUACCAGGUCUUGACAUACUAUGCAAAUCUAAGAGAUUAGACGUUCCCUUCGGGGACAUGGAUACAGGUGGUGCAUGGUUGUCGUCAGCUCGUGUCGUGAGAUGUUGGGUUAAGUCCCGCAACGAGCGCAACCCUUAUUAUCAGUUGCCAGCAUUAAGUUGGGCACUCUGGUGAGACUGCCGGUGACAAACCGGAGGAAGGUGGGGAUGACGUCAAAUCAUCAUGCCCCUUAUGACCUGGGCUACACACGUGCUACAAUGGAUGGUACAACGAGUUGCGAACUCGCGAGAGUAAGCUAAUCUCUUAAAGCCAUUCUCAGUUCGGAUUGUAGGCUGCAACUCGCCUACAUGAAGUCGGAAUCGCUAGUAAUCGCGGAUCAGCAUGCCGCGGUGAAUACGUUCCCGGGCCUUGUACACACCGCCCGUCACACCAUGAGAGUUUGUAACACCCAAAGUCGGUGGGGUAACCUUUUAGGAACCAGCCGCCUAAGGUGGGACAGAUGAUUAGGGUGAAGUCGUAACAAGGUAGCCGUA